This is an unclassified non-coding RNA of Chlorocebus sabaeus (green monkey), 122 nucleotides long. It matches the Rfam family "Y RNA". Rfam says of the family: Y RNAs are components of the Ro ribonucleoprotein particle (Ro RNP), in association with Ro60 and La proteins. The Y RNAs and Ro60 and La proteins are well conserved, but the function of the Ro RNP is not known. In humans the RNA component can be one of four small RNAs -- hY1, hY3, hY4 and hY5. Lineage: Eukaryota; Metazoa; Chordata; Mammalia; Primates; Cercopithecidae. The record is from Ensembl.
GACUGGUCUGAAGGCAGUGAGUCAACUCAAUUGAUUAUUCACAGUCAGUUACGCAUCCAAUGCCUUAUUCUACUCUUCCCCUCUCUUCCCCUCUUCUCACUACUGCAUUUGACUAGUAUCUU